RNAcentral lists this ribosomal RNA (402 nucleotides) under bacterium. RNAcentral's name for it is "partial 16S ribosomal RNA". It matches the Rfam family "Bacterial small subunit ribosomal RNA", at positions 355 to 776 of the family's 1533-position model. The record is from RNAcentral.
UGGGGAAUUUUGCACAAUGGGGGAAACCCUGAUGCAGCGACGCCGCGUGAUUUAGAAGGCCUUCGGGUUGUAAAAAUCUUUUCUAUGGGAAGAAAAUGACAGUACCAUAGGAAUAAGGACCGGCUAAUUACGUGCCAGCAGCCGCGGUAAUACGUAAGGUCCGAGCGUUGUCCGGAAUCAUUGGGCGUAAAGGGUACGUAGGCGGGUAAGCAAGUUAGAAGUGAAAUCCUAUAGCUCAACUAUAGUAAGCUUUUAAAACUGCUCAUCUUGAGGUAUGGAAGGGAAAGUGGAAUUCCUAGUGUAGCGGUGAAAUGCGCAAAUAUUAGGAGGAAUACAGGUGGCGAAGGCGACUUUCUGGCCAUAACCUGACGCUGAGGUACGAAAGCGUGGGUAGCAAACAGG